UGACUUAACCCUGGGCACCCCCAACCCCCUACGUCUCUUGGCUCUCCUAACUCCCUCUCUCUCUGAUGACCCUGCCCAUCUUCUUAGAACAAGGUUGGCCAUUUUGCAUCCCAAUUUCUGGGCUACCAGCAGCAUGACUCUCAGGAGCUGCUGUCAUUCCUCCUGGACGGGCUGCAUGAGGACCUUAAUCGGGUGAAGAAGAAGGAGUAUGUGGAGCUGUGCGAUGCUGCUGGGCGACCGGAUCAGGAGGUGGCACAGGAGGCAUGGCAAAACCACAAACGGCGGAACGAUUCUGUGAUCGUGGACACUUUCCACGGCCUCUUCAAGUCCACGCUGGUGU
RNAcentral lists this small RNA (340 nucleotides) under Pan troglodytes (chimpanzee). RNAcentral's name for it is "retained intron". Lineage: Eukaryota; Metazoa; Chordata; Mammalia; Primates; Hominidae. The record is from RNAcentral.